UGUUUAAAACACAUUUCUUCUCAAGAAAAGUGCAAAGACAUAAUUCAUCGGGGAGACAUGAAUAUAAAUAAUUAAGCAACCCUUUACUUAAUAUACAUAAGCUCAUGGAAGAAAAACUAUACAUAAGUUUCUAAGGCUACUUAAGUAGUAAUACAUGUUUUAUUCAAAUUCAUGAUACUUCGUAUGCUGUAUACAUUUUUUUCCAAUUAUGUACAGAUUGCAGCUGCUCCACCGUAUACUUCACCGUGGUCAAAAAUCACCAAGAAAAUCAAUCAAUGGAAGGAAUUAAUCUGAUCUCCCAAAGGAACAGUCAGGCCUAAAAAGGUUUAAAAAAAAUAAACAUGACGUACGCAGCUACCGUCCGAGCGACACAUGGACGGUCCGGAUUGCGCCACGC
Molecule: long non-coding RNA, 397 nt
Filed under: Oryza brachyantha (malo sina)
Lineage: Eukaryota; Viridiplantae; Streptophyta; Magnoliopsida; Poales; Poaceae
Description: long non-coding RNA (OBRA_LNC001635)
Source: RNAcentral